RNAcentral lists this ribosomal RNA (493 nucleotides) under uncultured bacterium. Its description in RNAcentral is "partial 16S ribosomal RNA". It matches the Rfam family "Bacterial small subunit ribosomal RNA", at positions 29 to 523 of the family's 1533-position model. The record is from RNAcentral.
AUUGAACGCUGGCGGAAUGCUUUACACAUGCAAGUCGAACGGUAACAGGUUAAGCUGACGAGUGGCGAACGGGUGAGUAAUGCAUCGGAACGUGCCCGGUCGUGGGGGAUAACGCAGCGAAAGCUGCGCUAAUACCGCAUACGAUCUAAGGAUGAAAGCGGGGGACCGUAAGGCCUCGCGCGAUCGGAGCGGCCGAUGUCAGAUUAGGUAGUUGGUGGGGUAAGGGCUCACCAAGCCAACGAUCUGUAGCUGGUCUGAGAGGACGACCAGCCACACUGGGACUGAGACACGGCCCAGACUCCUACGGGAGGCAGCAGUGGGGAAUUUUGGACAAUGGGCGAAAGCCUGAUCCAGCAAUGCCGCGUGCAGGAAGAAGGCCUUCGGGUUGUAAACUGCUUUUGUACGGAGCGAAAAGGUCUCCUCUAAUACAGGGGGCUCAUGACGGUACCGUAAGAAUAAGCACCGGCUAACUACGUGCCAGCAGCCGCCGUAA